UGAGGAAUAUUGGUCAAUGGGCGAGAGCCUGAACCAGCCAAGUAGCGUGCAGGAUGACGGCCUUAUGGGUUGUAAACUGCUUUUAUGCGAGGAUAAAGGUACCCACGUGUGGGUGUUUGCAGGUAUCGCAUGAAUAAGGACCGGCUAAUUCCGUGCCAGCAGCCGCGGUAAUACGGAAGGUUCUGGCGUUAUCCGGAUUUAUUGGGUUUAAAGGGAGCGUAGGCUGUUUUUUAAGCGUGUUGUGAAAUGUACCGGCUCAACCGGUGAUGUGCAGCGCGAACUGGAAGACUUGAGUGUGUUGUAAGUAGGCGGAAUUCGUGGUGUAGCGGUGAAAUGCUUAGAUAUCACGAGGAACUCCGAUUGCGUAGGCAGCUUACUGUCUCACUACUGACGCUGAUGCUCGAAAGCGCGGGUAUCGAACA
This 422-nucleotide ribosomal RNA is filed under the name uncultured Prevotella sp. RNAcentral describes it as "bacterial SSU rRNA". It matches the Rfam family "Bacterial small subunit ribosomal RNA", at positions 355 to 774 of the family's 1533-position model. The record is from RNAcentral. Lineage: Bacteria; Pseudomonadati; Bacteroidota; Bacteroidia; Bacteroidales; Prevotellaceae.